Molecule: long non-coding RNA, 322 nt
Organism: Pipra filicauda (Wire-tailed manakin)
Lineage: Eukaryota; Metazoa; Chordata; Aves; Passeriformes; Pipridae
Exons: 2
Source: RefSeq, a predicted model, not a curated record
UGCAGCACUGAUGGAUCUCAAUGCCGUGCUGAGACCUCAGUUUACAACUCAGGAAGCAGCUUGGCAGAGGCCAGUGUUGCUGGUCAGCAUCCUCCCCUUGCAGACUUUUCACCAGAAUCCCACCUGAAGUGGAAGAUGGUGAGACAGUGAGCAACAGCCACAGUUUGUAGCUUGGGAGAUUCAAAUUGGACAGUGGAAAACAAAAUCCACGGGAAUCGUGCUGUCAGUGAACAGAUACCCAGAGAGAAAGCAUUAACCUUCCUUGGUUAAAGAAGACUUGGUGUAAAUAAUUUCCAUAAAUAAAUAAAGCACAGAAGCCUGC